Molecule: non-coding RNA, 91 nt
Organism: Acanthosepion pharaonis
Lineage: Eukaryota; Metazoa; Mollusca; Cephalopoda; Sepiida; Sepiidae
Source: the annotation of a GenBank genome assembly
CAUAUCACCAGUUCCCAUAUGAUCACUGAAGUUAAGCAAUGUUAAGCUUAAUCAGUACUUAGAUGAGUGACUGCUUGAGAAUAUCAGGUAC